This 108-nucleotide transfer RNA is filed under the name Candidatus Bathyarchaeota archaeon. RNAcentral's name for it is "tRNA-Asp". The record is from RNAcentral. Lineage: Archaea; Thermoproteati; Candidatus Bathyarchaeota.
GCCCUGGUAGUAUAGUCCGGUCUAGUAUAUGCGGCUGUCGCCCGCAGGACAUCGCAGAGAGAAACGCUCUGUGACAUGAGCCGGGUUCGAAUCCCGGCCAGGGCGCCA